GACGAACGCUGGCGGCGUGCUUAACACAUGCAAGUCGAACGGAAAGGCCCCUUUGGGGGUACUCGAGUGGCGAACGGGUGAGUAACACGUGAGUAACCUGCCCUUGACUUCGGGAUAACUUCAGGAAACUGGGGCUAAUACCGGAUAGGAAUCCUUGCUGCAUGGUGGGGGUUGGAAAGCUUCGGCGGUUUUGGAUGGACUCGCGGCUUAUCAGCUUGUUGGUGGGGUAGUGGCUUACCAAGGCUUUGACGGGUAGCCGGCCUGAGAGGGCGACCGGCCACAUUGGGACUGAGAUACGGCCCAGACGCCUACGGGAGGCAGCAGGGGGGAAUAUUGCACAAUGGGCGGAAGCCUGAUGCAGCAACGCCGCGUGCGGGAGGACGGCCUUCGGGUUGGAAACCGCUUUCAGCAGGGGCGAAGCUUGUGGUGACGGCACCUGCAGAAGAAGCACCGGCUAACUACGUG
This 465-nucleotide ribosomal RNA is filed under the name uncultured bacterium. Its description in RNAcentral is "partial 16S ribosomal RNA". It matches the Rfam family "Bacterial small subunit ribosomal RNA", at positions 28 to 507 of the family's 1533-position model. The record is from RNAcentral.